UCCCAGUGGCUUACAGACCUGUUUGUGCUGU
This 31-nucleotide non-coding RNA is filed under the name Rattus norvegicus (Norway rat). The record is from RNAcentral. Lineage: Eukaryota; Metazoa; Chordata; Mammalia; Rodentia; Muridae.